Molecule: non-coding RNA, 144 nt
Filed under: Phytophthora infestans T30-4
Lineage: Eukaryota; Oomycota; Peronosporomycetes; Peronosporales; Peronosporaceae
Description: Eukaryotic large subunit ribosomal RNA
Rfam family: Eukaryotic large subunit ribosomal RNA
Source: Rfam by way of RNAcentral
CCGUUCAUCCAGAGAUGCUUCAUGCGUACGAUCCAUUUAUAUUGAGUCGCGUAGUUUGGGAAAGCAAGCGCAAAGUAGGUGGUAAAUUCCAUUCUAAAGCUAAAUAAUAGGUGCGGGACAGAUAGCGACCAAGUACCCGUGAGG